GGCUGUGCCUCCCCGUGCUGUGGUUCAGAACCCAGCUUGACUGUGCCAUAGUCCAGAACCCGGCUUGAGACCAAAACCUAAAGCAAUCAGAUGACACGCCUUACUUUUUUCCCAUCUCUCGGGAAUCGCACUGGCUCUCAUCCAACAUCAGAACACAUUUGUUCAGAUAUGCGCUGUUGACAGCCGGAAGGCUAUUCCAGGACUAGCUCCUCAACCGUGACUGGAAGCAGAGUUCAGCACCAAGAGCAACAUCAUGAGAAGUAAUCUCAGAUGCUGAAGAUCUUAUGUGAAGUCCUGGAUGGGCUACUUGGAAGCUGAGACCUUCAGGAAAAAAUCACUCAACUCUUCAAGUUGGAGUUUCCUGCUCUAUGCAAUGGAAAAAAAAAAAAAAGAGAGAGAGAGAGAGAGAGAGAGAAAAAAAAGAACCCUUUCUCAAAAGAAAUGCAGAUUGAUGCAACAACAUAGAUCAACUGAAUCACGAAAUAGCGUUGAAGACUGACAGCAGCUUCCUGGGUUACCUCUUCAAGAGAUGUCUGCAUGCGGAUUCCCAAAGCAGAAGCCAGUGAUCCCAUAGGCAUGAAGCUCUCAUGCAACCAGGCAGAGGCAUGAGGGAGCACUGGGGCCGAGGUCCCAUCCCAGCAUUCCUUACGUCCUAGGAUGUGUGCAGCUUUUCUCUGCCUGGCAAAUA
Molecule: long non-coding RNA, 688 nt
Organism: Phacochoerus africanus (Common warthog)
Lineage: Eukaryota; Metazoa; Chordata; Mammalia; Artiodactyla; Suidae
Exons: 3
Source: RefSeq, a predicted model, not a curated record